RNAcentral lists this unclassified non-coding RNA (334 nucleotides) under soil metagenome. RNAcentral describes it as "partial contains 5.8S ribosomal RNA, internal transcribed spacer 2, and large subunit ribosomal RNA". The stretch from base 1 to 120 matches the Rfam family "5.8S ribosomal RNA", at positions 35 to 154 of the family's 154-position model. The record is from RNAcentral.
GAUGAAGAACGUAGCGAAAUGCGAUAAGUAAUGUGAAUUGCAGAAUUCAGUGAAUCAUCGAAUCUUUGAACGCACAUUGCGCCCGCCAGUAUUCUGGCGGGCAUGCCUGUUCGAGCGUCAUUUCAACCAUCAAGCCCUGCUUGCGUUGGGGUCCUGCGGCUGCCCGCAGGCCCUGAAAACCAGUGGCGGGCUCGCUAGUCACACCGAGCGCAGUAAUACAUCUCGCUUUGGGCGUGCGGCGGGUUCUUGCCGUUAAACACCCCCUUUUUACCAAGGUUGACCUCGGAUCAGGUAGGAAUACCCGCUGAACUUAAGCAUCUCAAUAAGCGGAGGA